This 497-nucleotide ribosomal RNA is filed under the name uncultured bacterium. Its description in RNAcentral is "partial 16S ribosomal RNA". It matches the Rfam family "Bacterial small subunit ribosomal RNA", at positions 28 to 507 of the family's 1533-position model. The record is from RNAcentral.
GAUGAACGCUGGCGGCGUGCCUAAUACAUGCAAGUCGAGCGAACAGAUGAGGAGCUCUCUCACCUGACGUUAGCGGCUGACGGGUGAGUAACAAGUGGAUAACCUACCUAUCAGACUGGGAUAACUACGAGAAACCAGAGACAAUAACGGCUAAUAAGUUCAACCGCAUGGAUCAAUAGUUGAGGACGGGUUUCGCGACCUAUAGCGAUGGAUCCGCGCCGCAUUAGCUAGUUGGUAAGGUAACGGCUUACCAAGGCAACGAUGCGUAGCCGACCUGAGAGGGUGAUCGGCCACACUGGAACUGAGACACGGCCCAGACUCCUACGGGAGGCAGCAGUAGGGAAUCUUCCGCAAUGGGCGAAAGCCUGACGGAGCAACGCCGCGUGAGUGAUGAAGGUCUUCGGAUCGUAAAGCUCUGUUAUUAGGGAAGAACAGAUGUGUAAGUAACUAUUCACGUCGUGACGGUACCUAAUCAGAAAGCCACGGCUAACUACGUG